Molecule: long non-coding RNA, 543 nt
Organism: Pseudopipra pipra
Lineage: Eukaryota; Metazoa; Chordata; Aves; Passeriformes; Pipridae
Exons: 2
Source: RefSeq, a predicted model, not a curated record
GCGGGGCUGGUUUUCCUCUCCGGUUGGUGCCGCUGAAUUAUUUGCCUUUCUCCGGGUACAGCUGGCACGAGGCGCCCGCAGCCUCCCCCGCCCCUCCGCGCGCCGCCGACCGUGCCCUUCACCCGACCUUCGCCCCCGCGGCCCCCCCGGGGUGCCCGGACCCCCCCCCCCCUCUUCCACAGGGGGAUUUUUCUCCAGGAGCUCCGAGGGUGACGCCUGGAGCCCCGGGAUGCUCCGGGAGCCGCUGCCCGUGGGAACACGUGGAGCUGGAUGGAGCCACCGCCACAAACCCCAGCGCCGGGCCCGGGAGGAGAGCGGGGUGGUGGAGGAAUGAGGGCUGUGUCAGAUCCCACAGUUUCGCGGCGCUGGAGCAGCCGGGAAUGUCGGGAUGGAGCCGCCGCGGCUCCAGCGAGCAGGAUCCAAGCGGGAAGAGCCGAACGGCGGAGAUUUACGGCGCCGGCUCCGCGCAGCCCCCCCCGGCCAUUUGGCACGGCAGCUGCUGCCGGGGAACUUCAAUGCCAAAAUAAAUUAAACGGGAUAAAA